RNAcentral lists this ribosomal RNA (437 nucleotides) under uncultured haloarchaeon. RNAcentral describes it as "bacterial SSU rRNA". It matches the Rfam family "Archaeal small subunit ribosomal RNA", at positions 397 to 833 of the family's 1478-position model. Lineage: Archaea; Methanobacteriati; Methanobacteriota; Halobacteria; Halobacteriales; Halobacteriaceae. The record is from RNAcentral.
AGAGCCUGCGCUUUUGUUCACCCUAGGGAGGUGCCCGAAUAAGGGCUGGGCAAGACCGGUGCCAGCCGCCGCGGUAAUACCGGCAGCCCGAGUGAUGGCCGAUCUUAUUGGGCCUAAAGCGUCCGUAGCUGGCCGCGCAAGUCCAUCGGGAAAUCCACCCGCCCAACGGGUGGCCGUCCGGUGGAAACUGCACGGCUUGGGACCGGAAGGCGCGACGGGUACGUCCAGGGUAGGAGUGAAAUCCCGUAAUCCUGGACGGACCGCCGAUGGCGAAAGCACGUCGCGAGAACGGAUCCGACAGUGAGGGACGAAAGCUAGGGUCUCGAACCGGAUUAGAUACCCGGGUAGUCCUAGCCGUAAACAAUGCCUGCUAGGUGUGGCUCCCACUACGAGUGGGUGCUGUGCCGUAGGGAAGCCGCUAAGCAGACCGCCUGGAA